RNAcentral lists this ribosomal RNA (710 nucleotides) under Arthrobacter sp. SMCC B0629. RNAcentral's name for it is "bacterial SSU rRNA". It matches the Rfam family "Bacterial small subunit ribosomal RNA", at positions 22 to 744 of the family's 1533-position model. The record is from RNAcentral. Lineage: Bacteria; Bacillati; Actinomycetota; Actinomycetes; Micrococcales; Micrococcaceae.
GCUCAGGAUGAACGCUGGCGGCGUGCUUAACACAUGCAAGUCGGACGAUGAAGCCCUUCGGGGUGGAUUAGUGGCGAACGGGUGAGUAACACGUGAGCAACCUGCCCUUGACUCUGGGAUAAGCCUGGGAAACUGGGUCUAAUACCGGAUAGGACCUCCUGCCGCAUGGUGGGGGGUGGAAAGCCUUGUGCGGUCUUGGAUGGGCUCGCGGCCUAUCAGCUUGUUGGUGGGGUGAUGGCCUACCAAGGCGACGACGGGUAGCCGGCCUGAGAGGGUGACCGGCCACACUGGGACUGAGACACGGCCCAGACUCCUACGGGAGGCAGCAGUGGGGAAUAUUGCACAAUGGGCGGAAGCCUGAUGCAGCGACGCCGCGUGGGGGAUGACGGCCUUCGGGUUGUAAACCCCUUUCGGCAGGGAACAAGCCUUUCGGGGUGAGGGUACCUGCGGAAGAAGCGCCGGCUAACUACGUGCCAGCAGCCGCGGUAAUACGUAGGGCGCGAGCGUUAUCCGGAAUUAUUGGGCGUAAAGAGCUCGUAGGCGGUUUGUCGCGUCUGCUGUGAAAGCCCGGGGCUCAACCCCGGGUCUGCAGUGGGUACGGGCAGGCUGGAGUGCAGUAGGGGAGACUGGAAUUCCUGGUGUAGCGGUGAAAUGCGCUGAUAUCAGGAGGAACACCGAUGGCGAAGGCAGGUCUCUGGGCUGUAACUGAC